Non-coding RNA from Drosophila virilis, 667 nucleotides. Lineage: Eukaryota; Metazoa; Arthropoda; Insecta; Diptera; Drosophilidae. The record is from RefSeq and is a predicted model, not a curated record.
CGUCGCAAGUCGCGACGCGCUCUGCGCAGAGCCCGCAGCGUGCCGCUCGCGCAGUUGUCUGCUGGCAGUCCAGUAGCAGUAGACAGUAGACAGUAGACAGUAGCUGUAGCUGUGCAGCUGUAGCCUUGCGUUCAGUCCAGCUUUUGAUGGUUAUGCGCUCGCGUUUGGCGGGUUCUUUUGAAAACGAUUCAACGAUCGAACUUGGCACGCGCUGCCUUUCAUUUUGGUUUUAUGUGAGUUCGGUGCGUGUUUCUUAUUCCAAAUUAUAAUAUACUUACAUAUGUGUGUAUGUUGUUUGUUUAUUUAUUUUUGUUGUGUGCAUCAAGUGAAGUGAAACAGUGGGCAGCCAUUAACAACGAGCACAACAACUGCAAAAGAACCCCAAUCGACGCCGAGAAGCGUCAUGUUGUUGUCGCUGUCUUUGCAAUAUGUAGAACAAACGCAACAACAAGAACAGCCUGCUCAAGUAAUCCAAUGCGAUUUUUGGCCAAGAAUAACAACUCCAUUAAAAAUCGUGUAAAAAACGGGCUUCAGUUCAUCUAAUUUAACAGGGGAAGCCAGCACUAAAAAGUUGUUAAAACACCGACAUUUUUAAUAUUACCGGUCCGAAAAGUACUCGAAGCAAUUGCCAGAAGCAAGUAGAACGAACAAAAGCACAUUGAAGCCC